CGCCCGAAGCCAUUAGGCCGAGGGCACGCCUGCCUGGGCGUCUCACAUCGCGUCGCCCCUCGCCCUGUGCCCGCAAAGGGUCCUUGGGUUGGUUGGGGCGGAUUUUGGCCCCCCGUGUGCCCCGGUGCGCGGUCGGCCUAAAAAUGAGUCCCUGGCGACGAACGUCACGAUGAGUGGUGGAUGUGAUAACGUUGCGUCAUGUCGUGCACGUCUUGUCCCAGCGGGUUGCUUUUGUUUUCGACCCUGAGAAGCACCGCUUCCACGGUGCCUCGACCGCGACCCCAGGUCAGGCGGGAUUACCCGCUGAGUUUA
RNAcentral lists this ribosomal RNA (312 nucleotides) under Sideroxylon wightianum. Its description in RNAcentral is "eukaryotic LSU rRNA". The record is from RNAcentral. Lineage: Eukaryota; Viridiplantae; Streptophyta; Magnoliopsida; Ericales; Sapotaceae.